UGGGGAAUAUUGCACAAUGGAGGGAACUCUGAUGCAGCGACGCCGCGUGAACGAAGAAGGCUUUCGAGUCGUAAAGUUCUUUUAUAUGGGAAGAUAAUGACAGUACCAUAAGAAAAAGCCCCGGCUAACUACGUGCCAGCAGCCGCGGUAAUACGUAGGGGGCUAGCGUUGUCCGGAAUCACUGGGCGUAAAGGGUUCGCAGGCGGAAAUGCAAGUCAGGUGUAAAAGGCAGUAGCUUAACUACUGUAAGCAUUUGAAACUGCAUAUCUUGAGAAGAGUAGAGGUAAGUGGAAUUUUUAGUGUAGCGGUGAAAUGCGUAGAUAUUAAAAAGAAUACCGGUGGCGAAGGCGACUUACUGGGCUCAUUCUGACGCUGAGGAACGAAAGCGUGGGUAGCAAACAGG
Molecule: ribosomal RNA, 403 nt
Filed under: bacterium
Lineage: Bacteria
Also listed under: 2 other names
Description: partial 16S ribosomal RNA
Rfam family: Bacterial small subunit ribosomal RNA
Source: RNAcentral